AAUAGAUACCCUGGUAGUCCACGCCGUAAACGAUGAGUGCUAAGUGUUAGGGGGUUUCCGCCCCUUAGUGCUGCAGCUAACGCAUUAAGCACUCCGCCUGGGGAGUACGGUCGCAAGACUGAAACUCAAAGGAAUUGACGGGGGCCCGCACAAGCGGUGGAGCAUGUGGUUUAAUUCGAAGCAACGCGAAGAACCUUACCAGGUCUUGACAUCCCGUUGACCGCUAUGGAGACAUAGCCUUCCCUUCGGGGACAGCGGUGACAGGUGGUGCAUGGUUGUCGUCAGCUCGUGUCGUGAGAUGUUGGGUUAAGUCCCGCAACGAGCGCAACCCUUGAGAUUAGUUGCCAUCAUUCAGUUGGGCACUCUAAUCUGACUGCCGGUGAUAAACCGGAGGAAGGUGGGGAUGACGUCAAAUCAUCAUGCCCCUUAUGACCUGGGCUACACACGUGCUACAAUGGACGGUACAAACGGUUGCCAACCCGCGAGGGGGGAGCCGAAUCCGAUAAAACCGUUCUCAGUUCGGAUUGUAGG
RNAcentral lists this ribosomal RNA (531 nucleotides) under uncultured bacterium. RNAcentral describes it as "bacterial SSU rRNA". It matches the Rfam family "Bacterial small subunit ribosomal RNA", at positions 777 to 1304 of the family's 1533-position model. The record is from RNAcentral.